GUCUACAGCCAUACCACCCUGAACCCAUGAGAUCUCAUCUGAUCUCAGAAGCUGAGCAGGGUCGGGCCUAGUUAGUACGUGGAUGGGAGAUCGCCUGGGAAUACCAGGUGCUGUAGGCU
Molecule: ribosomal RNA, 119 nt
Organism: Rhinopithecus bieti (black snub-nosed monkey)
Lineage: Eukaryota; Metazoa; Chordata; Mammalia; Primates; Cercopithecidae
Source: Ensembl